RNAcentral lists this ribosomal RNA (254 nucleotides) under uncultured soil bacterium. RNAcentral describes it as "partial 16S ribosomal RNA". It matches the Rfam family "Bacterial small subunit ribosomal RNA", at positions 26 to 287 of the family's 1533-position model. The record is from RNAcentral.
AGGACGAACGCUGGCGGCGUGCUUAACACAUGCAAGUCAAGGGGGCGGAGCAAUCUGCAACCGGCGAACGGGUGCGUAACACGUGAGCGACCUAUCGUGGUGUGGGGGAUAGCCGGCCCAACGGCCGGGUAAUACCGCAUGCGCUCUUUGAGGGGCAUCCCUUGGGGAGGAAAGUCUUCGGACGCACGGCGAGGGGCUCGCGGCCUAUCAGCUAGUUGGUGGGGUCAUGGCUCACCAAGGCAUCGACGGGUAGC